RNAcentral lists this microRNA precursor (208 nucleotides) under Oryza glumipatula. Its description in RNAcentral is "MIR812 microRNA precursor family". It matches the Rfam family "MIR812 microRNA precursor family". Lineage: Eukaryota; Viridiplantae; Streptophyta; Magnoliopsida; Poales; Poaceae. The record is from Rfam by way of RNAcentral.
AAUAAGUGUAGUUUUACACUAUUUAUAUUUAACGUUUGACCGUUCGUCUUAUUUAAAAUUUUUUUAUGAUUAGCAUUUUUAUUGCUAUUAGAUGAUAAAACAUUAAUAAUACUUUAUGUGCGACUAAAUAUUUUUAAAUUUUUUAUAAAUUUUUUAAAUAAGACGAACGGUCAAACGUUGGGCACAGAUAUUUAUGGCUGCACUUAUU